RNAcentral lists this unclassified non-coding RNA (241 nucleotides) under plant metagenome. RNAcentral describes it as "partial contains small subunit ribosomal RNA, internal transcribed spacer 1, and 5.8S ribosomal RNA". The record is from RNAcentral.
UUUCCGUAGGUGAACCUGCGGAAGGAUCAUUAUUGAAUGAAACACUUCUGGCUUUAUGCUGAUGUGCUGCCCCUUUGUGCAAUGUGCAAACGGCUCUGGUCACUUGUUUCUUCUCUUCCACCUGUGCACUGCCUGUAGACACGCUGUGUCUAUGAUUUUUGUUAACACACAACAAUGUUAGUUGGCAUGUUAUAUAUAAUAAUAAAAUAUACAACUUUCAACAACGGAUCUCUUGGCUCUC